This 67-nucleotide transfer RNA is filed under the name Placopecten magellanicus (sea scallop). RNAcentral describes it as "tRNA-Asn". Lineage: Eukaryota; Metazoa; Mollusca; Bivalvia; Pectinida; Pectinidae. The record is from RNAcentral.
GAAGCAUUAGUCUAUUGAGGGCGCCCCGCUGUUAACGGGGAGGAGGGGAUAAGUUUCCCAUGCUUUU